Molecule: long non-coding RNA, 1328 nt
Organism: Haplochromis burtoni (Burton's mouthbrooder)
Lineage: Eukaryota; Metazoa; Chordata; Actinopteri; Cichliformes; Cichlidae
Exons: 2
Source: RefSeq, a predicted model, not a curated record
GAUCGAGCCUAUCAUACAAAUGCGUUUGUCUAAGAUGAAGAGAUAUUCCCUGAUAACUUCCUGAGUUAUUUCUAAAUCAGUUCAAUCUAGUUUCAGUUCGAUUCUGUUUGGGUUUUGAAUCCGUUGUCUUCCUUCUUCCCGACAGUGUCAUAUAACGAGCUGCUUUUGCCUCAUCGCCACAGUGCUCACGCUUUCCAAUGUUUGCCUGAAAUGAAGAGUGUGCGCUUCGGCCCAGUGUGCCCAAAUCUGAGACAUGAAGUCAUCCUCUCCUCCUCCCCCGUCUCCUCGUUUCUCCAGCUGUUUGAUUUCGAUGAAUAUAUCUGGUCUACUUUCUGAAUUGUAAACUUACUAAUGAUGAACUGGAAUCUGAACAAAUGAUGGUCUUAAUGGUGUGGUGUCUUCAACCCAGUGGCUGAUAAGGUUACAAGCAUUUCUCCUGUGUGUAGCGAGUCCAUCAUUUAUCAGUUUCCCUACUUUGAUAUUAAACUCAGGUCAAAGUAAAAGCUACUCUAUACAGUUAUACACAAAUAUAUUUCUGUACUGUACGUGAGUUUAAAGUAAACUCCUCAUCCUCAUUUCUCUUUUCCACCAAAGUGAAAUCUACUGUAGCAUCUGGAGGUAUCCACAGCUGUAUUACUGCUAAAGGUUCUAUUUAACUUGAGCUUGAUUGCUUUUGGUUUCACAGUCCAACCAAAACUCCUCACGUUUUCUUAGACCCAGCAGGGUUUAACCAUUCCCCGAGUUGGAUGCGCCUCCAUCACCAUCUAAGCUUUCCCGAGAGAAAAUCCUUGUCUACAUUCACCCUGCGAUGCCAUCUUCCUCAUUUGGAUGAAUAAACCUUGUCUCCACAUCGUACCCUGUGCUUUUUCAAUUUCAAAAGUGUCUGUGUCAUCUUUGCCUGGCGUGCAGAUCUUUACCAUUACUGCUUCUUUCCGUUUCCCAGAUUUUAUUGUAAAUAAUAUUCUUUAGUCACAAAGUUGACUUCUCGUUAGAUAACAAACCUGAUCUUCGAGGUGACUCUGAUUUGAGAGGUCCAUUUAUUGAAUCAUCUACAUCUGCGUGUUCUAAUAACUCUCUAUUCUCUGACGUUUCUCUUCCUGUUUUCCCUUCUACAGUAAUAUUAUCUGAACUACGUAUUUUAACAGAUGUUUAGCCACCAGCUAUGCUUUUCUGUCAAGCUCCAAGUGAGCGGCUCGUGUUUCCCCAGUUCCGCACCUGGCCGGGGUCCUGGCCACUCCCACUCACCUGUUCCUCAUUCCGUGGCAAUCAGUGUGGCCUACCUUAAAAGCUUAUGAAUCCGAUUUAAACCAUCUCUGGAGUCUUUAAUU